Mytilus trossulus (common blue mussel) is the source of this 1763-nucleotide long non-coding RNA. RefSeq lists it as uncharacterized. Lineage: Eukaryota; Metazoa; Mollusca; Bivalvia; Mytilida; Mytilidae. The transcript has 3 exons. The record is from RefSeq and is a predicted model, not a curated record.
CUGAAAAUGUCCAUAAAACCUCAAAAGUCACUCAAAUUGAAACAAUAUUUUGUUAAACGUUAUGGUUCACUACAAACUACUAUUCCUUAACGGGAUUUUCGUUGCAAAUUGAUAUAAGCUUAUUUAAAUAAAUGAUGAAAAACUGAAAAAUAUACCUAAAAUUAUCUCCCUUUGUAAAACUCUUCACAAUAAAAGUCAGAUUUAUUGUCAAUAACAGAAGGAGGGAAAUCAACAAAUGUGCAAAAGGAUAGACAAUAAUGGUAUUUUUGAUGAAUAUGGUGUAGCCAAAAACUUAUUUCAUUGAAAGAGUGUAACAAAAACAUAGUAAACCAUGUGGCCAAGACAUUCCAACUGCCAUUGGGAUAAGUCUGAUCCUGAUCAGAUAGUCUAGACAUGACAUGAGGCUAGACUCACUAUCAGACUAUCUGAUAAUCAUGUCUAGGUUUCAGACUCACAUAACAUAAUGUUAAAUGCAUAUGCUGCAAACAUGGACAGGAGUUGGAUUGCAGUGGACAAGAAGACAAAAUGAGUUGCUGUCAUCCUUUCAUGACCCUUGCAAAUCUAGCAACGAAAAUUCGUAGGCAAAACGUUCAGUUUCAUUUGGUUCUGGUUAAUGUUGAAGAUGGAAAAGCACAAAAAAAAUAUAAAAAUGAAAGCAGAUACAUGUAUGAUAGGAGAUCUUAUAGAUAUUUGGUGAUCCAAAAAUAACUGGAGUUCAUGAAACAAGACUGAUUGCUGGGACACAUUUUUGUUGAUAAACAUGUUUAUGAUGAAGAAAAACUUAGAUAAUAUUACGGAUACUUGAAUAAGGCUCUGAUCUGUCUUUGAUUUUUCCUGUUGGUGUCAAAAAAUUGCAAGCUCAAAUAAAAAUAAAUUGAAAUGGAACUCAUGGAUAUGCUUUGAAAAAAAGAAAUAAACAGCAAUGUGAAUCUUGCCGAAGUCUUACCAACAACCAAGUCAACACACAGUUGCAACACAAAUGAGAAGAGAGAGACAUUUGCAAGGACUUAGAGUGUUCUCACUGUCUCACCAUUAGAAUGGCUUUCUCAUCAGCAAAGAAGAAGUCUAAAAAUUACUUCUGCAUUAAAAGGUCAUCAAUAUUGAAGACAAUCAAGAAGAUUACGGUUGUACUUGGCCAUUUGAUAAACAUUAUAAUAUUUUCAUUUGUCAGAAAUUGUUACUUAGAUUGACUAACUAGUUUUAUUGAUUGAAUUAUUAGUAAAUUACCUUUCGUAGUUCAUGUAGUUACAUGUAUGUAAAUCUUUAUCAGAUAGUAUGGAAAUAAUUUAAUACAUCCCUAAAUUCCAUACCUAAUGCAACAAUUGUCUUGUGCUGCUAAGUCAAUUUGAAUUAACUUUUAUGUAUGUUUAUAGUAAUCUUAUUCUUGCAUUUAAGCAUCAUUUUGUGUUAUUGUAUCAUCUACAUUGAUUGUUAAAUAUAAUACUAAUGGUAUAAAUAAAAUAACAUUUCUGAUCAUUUAAACACAGAUUGAAAUAUUUAUAAAUAUAUCAAUGCUAAAAGGAAUUUAGACUUUUUUCGAGGAGAAUUUAAGAAAGUACUACAACAAAAGCAAACGAAUAGUAUAUGCUCAACUGCAAUAUUAACUUUCUCACCAGAUAACCUAAUAGAGAUAUAUUUGUAUUUUAUUAAAUUGAUGAAGCGUAUGUUAGUUUAAAUAAAUAUGUACAUGCAAUUUUAAGGUUUUAGAAAAACAACAUUUUUAUUGGAUUAUCUCCCUUUGUACAAUAGAAAUUCAGAUUUUA